This 800-nucleotide ribosomal RNA is filed under the name Aurantimonas sp. Its description in RNAcentral is "bacterial SSU rRNA". It matches the Rfam family "Bacterial small subunit ribosomal RNA", at positions 79 to 915 of the family's 1533-position model. Lineage: Bacteria; Pseudomonadati; Pseudomonadota; Alphaproteobacteria; Hyphomicrobiales; Aurantimonadaceae. The record is from RNAcentral.
GCAUCCUUCGGGGUGAGUGGCAGACGGGUGAGUAACGCGUGGGAAUCUACCCAUCCCUACGGGAUAGCUCCGGGAAACUGGAGAUAAUACCGUAUACGUCCUCCGGGAGAAAGAUUUAUCGGGGAUGGAUGAGCCCGCGUUGGAUUAGCUAGUUGGUGGGGUAAUGGCCUACCAAGGCGACGAUCCAUAGCUGGUCUAAGAGGAUGAUCAGCCACAUUGGGACUGAGACACGGCCCAAACUCCUACGGGAGGCAGCAGUGGGGAAUAUUGGACAAUGGGCGCAAGCCUGAUCCAGCCAUGCCGCGUGAGUGAUGAAGGCCCUAGGGUUGUAAAGCUCUUUCAGUGGGGACGAUAAUGACGGUACCCACAGAAGAAGCCCCGGCUAACUUCGUGCCAGCAGCCGCGGUAAUACGAAGGGGGCUAGCGUUGUUCGGAAUUACUGGGCGUAAAGCGCACGUAGGCGGACAUUUAAGUCAGGGGUGAAAUCCCGGGGCUCAACCCCGGAACUGCCUCUGAUACUGGGUGUCUUGAGUGUGGUAGAGGUGAGUGGAAUUGCGAGUGUAGAGGUGAAAUUCGUAGAUAUUCGCAGGAACACCAGUGGCGAAGGCGGCUCACUGGACCACAACUGACGCUGAGGUGCGAAAGCGUGAGGAGCAAACAGGAUUAGAUACCCUGGUAGUCCACGCCGUAAACGAUGGAAGCUAGCCGUCGGAGGAUUUAUCCUUCGGUGGCGCAGUUAACGCAUUACGCUUCCCGCCUGUCGAGUACGGUCGCAAGAUUAAAACUCUAAGGAAUUGACG